AUUUUGACGAGGGGAGCCGUUAUUGUGAGAGCAAUCGAGAAAGUGAGAUUGGGAUUUCGAGAUGAACGAUUUAAUUAAUCGUCGCUGUAGAUGGAUCGUAGGGUUUCUGAGUUGAAUUGCAAUUUUCUUUUCAUAUAUAUAUAAAUAUUUUUUUAUAUAGUUGGUGAAAUUUUGGAUGUGUUUGAGAUUUAUGAAUAAAUGG
Molecule: unclassified non-coding RNA, 202 nt
Filed under: Hevea brasiliensis (rubber tree)
Lineage: Eukaryota; Viridiplantae; Streptophyta; Magnoliopsida; Malpighiales; Euphorbiaceae
Source: RNAcentral